UUGGAGGGCAAGUCUGGUGCCAGCAGCCGCGGUAAUUCCAGCUCCAAUAGCGUAUAUUAAAGUUGUUGUGGUUAAAAAGCUCGUAGUUGAACCUUGGGCCUGGCUGGCCGGUCCGCCUCACCGCGUGUACUGGUCCGACCGGGCCUUUCCCUCUGUGGAACCCCAUGCCCUUCACUGGGUGUGGCGGGGAAACAGGACUUUUACUGUGAAAAAAUUAGAGUGCUCCAGGCAGGCCUAUGCUCGAAUACAUUAGCAUGGAAUAAUAGAAUAGGACGUGUGGUUCUAUUUUGUUGGUUUCUAGGACCGCCGUAAUGAUUAAUAGGGACAGUCGGGGGCAUCAGUAUUCAAUUGUCAGAGGUGAAAUUCUUGGAUUUAUUGAAGACUAACUACUGCGAAAGCAUUUGCCAAGGAUGUCUUCAUUAAUCAGGAACGAAAGUUAGGGGAUCGAAGACGAUCAGAUACCGUCGUAGUCUUAACCAUAAACUAUGCCGACUAGGGAUCGGACGAUGUUAUAUUUUGACUCGUUCGGCGCCUUACGGGAAAC
RNAcentral lists this ribosomal RNA (544 nucleotides) under uncultured Ascomycota. Its description in RNAcentral is "SSU rRNA". It matches the Rfam family "Eukaryotic small subunit ribosomal RNA", at positions 548 to 1098 of the family's 1831-position model. Lineage: Eukaryota; Fungi; Ascomycota. The record is from RNAcentral.